Molecule: ribosomal RNA, 92 nt
Filed under: uncultured bacterium
Lineage: Bacteria
Description: partial 16S ribosomal RNA
Source: RNAcentral
UUGUAAACCUCUGUCACUGGGGAAGAAACGCUUCAAGUAAACAUCGUGAAGCCUGACUUAACCCGGAGAGGAAGCAGUGGCUAACUCUGUGC